GUCUAUGGCCAUACCACCCUGAACGCGCCCGAUCUCGUCUGAUCUCGGAAGCUAAGCAGGGUCGGGCCUGGUUAGCAGUUGGAUGGGAGACCGCCUAGGAAUGCCGGGUGCUGUAGGCU
RNAcentral lists this ribosomal RNA (119 nucleotides) under Cebus imitator (Panamanian white-faced capuchin). The record is from RNAcentral. Lineage: Eukaryota; Metazoa; Chordata; Mammalia; Primates; Cebidae.